CCUUGUAGCAAUACCGGGCUGGGGGAAGUGGCGAAAGGGGUAGUAAGGCGUGGGUAACCUACCCUGGGGAUCGGGAUAGCCUUCCUAACGGAAGGGUAAUACCGGGCGAUUUGGCGAGGUGGCAUCAUCUUGCCAGGAAAUGAAUUUCGCCUCGGGAGGGGCUCACGUGAUAUUAGCUAGUUGGCGGGGUAACGGCCCACCAAGGCUGAGAUGUCUAGCGGGUGUGAGAGCACGACCCGCGCCACUGGCACUGAGACACUGGCCAGACACCUACGGGUGGCUGCAGUCGAGGAUCUUCGGCAAUGGGCGCAAGCCUGACCGAGCGACGCCGCGUGUGCGAUGAAGGCCUUCGGGUUGUAAAGCACUGUCGAGGGGGAGGAAGGCGCAAGCUUGACCUAUCCCUGGAGGAAGCACGGGCUAAGUUCGUGCCAGCAGCCGCGGUAAGACGAACCGUGCGAACGUUGUUCGGAAUCACUGGGCUUAAAGGGCGCGUAUGCGGGCUCGCAGGUCCGGGGUGAAAGCCCCCAGCUUAACUGGGGAAGUGCCUUGGAAACCGCGGGUCUAGAGGGAGGUAGGGGCAUGUGGAACUUCGGGUGGAGCGGUGAAAUGCGUUGAUAUCCGAAGGAACGCCGGUGGCGAAAGCGACGUGCUGGAUCUCUUCUGACGCUGAGGCGCGAAAGCCAGGGUAGCGAGCGGGAUUAGAUACCCCGGUAGUCCUGGCCCUAAACGAUGGGUACUAGGUUGCGGACUUAACAUGGGUUCGCAGCCGAAGCAAAAGUGGUAAGUACCCCGCCUGGGGAGUAUGGUCGCAAGGCUGAAACUC
This 823-nucleotide ribosomal RNA is filed under the name uncultured Planctomycetota bacterium. RNAcentral's name for it is "bacterial SSU rRNA". It matches the Rfam family "Bacterial small subunit ribosomal RNA", at positions 72 to 902 of the family's 1533-position model. The record is from RNAcentral. Lineage: Bacteria; Pseudomonadati; Planctomycetota.